This 425-nucleotide long non-coding RNA is filed under the name Capsicum annuum. Its description in RNAcentral is "long non-coding RNA (CANN_LNC018863)". Lineage: Eukaryota; Viridiplantae; Streptophyta; Magnoliopsida; Solanales; Solanaceae. The record is from RNAcentral.
GGUAAUGGUAACAUCAUAUACAUAUAAUAAAAUUUUAUUUUACAAACAUAAGUACACCAUAGCAUAUUUUGGAAAGGAAAAUACAGAAAAUAUAAUAACAUAAAGACUUACAUGUCUAAGACGGAGAGAGAUUUUCCUUUCAAAAAUCCCGACUGACUCUUACACUCUAGACACAAGCAUAAUAUGCUAACUUAGUAUUCUACAUGGCUGAUUUAUUGAAUAAUAUUAUAGUUUAGAAUUGUACAAGACUGAUUUAUUGAAUCAUAUUAUACUCUGGACGCAAGCUUAAUAUGCAAACUUAGUAUUGUACAGGACUGAUUUAUUGAAUAAUAUUGUAGUUUAGGUAGGGAUGUGUAAAAAACAUAGAGGUAGAUAGUGAAAGGAAGGGGAAUAUGUUGAGUGAUUUUUCCCUGCUCGUUGCUCUC